RNAcentral lists this ribosomal RNA (795 nucleotides) under uncultured bacterium. RNAcentral's name for it is "bacterial SSU rRNA". It matches the Rfam family "Bacterial small subunit ribosomal RNA", at positions 8 to 796 of the family's 1533-position model. The record is from RNAcentral.
AGAGUUUGAUCAUGGCUCAGAUUGAACGCUGGCGGCAGGCCUAACACAUGCAAGUCGAGCGGUAGAGGGGUGCUUGCACCUCUUGAGAGCGGCGGACGGGGUGAGUAAUGCCUAGGAAUCUGCCUGGUAGUGGGGGGAUAACGUUCGGAAACGGACGCUAAUACCGCAUACGUCCUACGGGAGAAAGCAGGGGACCUUCGGGCCUUGCGCUAUCAGAUGAGCCUAGGUCGGAUUAGCUAGUUGGUGAGGUAAUGGCUCACCAAGGCGACGAUCCGUAACUGGUCUGAGAGGAUGAUCAGUCACACUGGAACUGAGACACGGUCCAGACUCCUACGGGAGGCAGCAGUGGGGAAUAUUGGACAAUGGGCGAAAGCCUGAUCCAGCCAUGCCGCGUGUGUGAAGAAGGUCUUCGGAUUGUAAAGCACUUUAAGUUGGGAGGAAGGGUUGUAGAUUAAUACUCUGCAAUUUUGACGUUACCGACAGAAUAAGCACCGGCUAACUCUGUGCCAGCAGCCGCGGUAAUACAGAGGGUGCAAGCGUUAAUCGGAAUUACUGGGCGUAAAGCGCGCGUAGGUGGUUUGUUAAGUUGGAUGUGAAAGCCCCGGGCUCAACCUGGGAACUGCAUUCAAAACUGACUGACUAGAGUAUGGUAGAGGGUGGUGGAAUUUCCUGUGUAGCGGUGAAAUGCGUAGAUAUAGGAAGGAACACCAGUGGCGAAGGCGACCACCUGGACUGAUACUGACACUGAGGUGCGAAAGCGUGGGGAGCAAACAGGAUUAGAUACCCUAGUAGUCC